This 1211-nucleotide long non-coding RNA is filed under the name Struthio camelus australis. Its description in RNAcentral is "lncRNA (ENSSCUG00000001993.1)". The record is from RNAcentral. Lineage: Eukaryota; Metazoa; Chordata; Aves; Struthioniformes; Struthionidae.
CUCAAGCCAGUUUCUGUAGAUCAGCGCCUGACUGAUGCUCCCACCGAUUAAUACGAAAUAAAGAGGUAGCUCCCUGUCCUCAGAGGAAGGAAGAAUAACUAUUUUGGCACUUCUGUUUGAAUCUAUCAUCAACUGAGGGUACUACAUCAUGCAUCAAGGCAUGUGUGAGGCGCAAGGAGUCACAUAUGGAUGAGGAGGAGCUGGCAGGCACGGUAUCCGAUAAAUCUGCCCUGAGUAAGACCCGAACAUCUAAAUAAGAAGGGAGUAGCAGUUUCUCAAGCUGUGACUGAGGUUCAAAACGUACGUGCCUGAUUCACGAUCUCCAUGACCUCGUAACCCAAGAUGAUUGACAGUCCGCCAGUGGGGCUAUUUACCUCCCUUAGGAAAACAACAACAGCCAUCUCUGAAGCAAUCUGCAGGAACCAGUUAGCAGGCCAGGGACAUGUCUGAGCUACCGCAUGAGACACAUCAUGUGCAGACUGAGCUGUGCCUGCUGCAGGAGUCACCUGCAGCUUCCGCACGCAGGAACCACUGAACGUGAGCAGAUCAGCUUCCUCUGAACUCAUCAAAUGGUAGAUCCAGUUUCUUCUCUGGCAGCCAUCCAGACACGAUCCUGGACAGCCUGCUCUAAGUGACCCUGCUUAAGCAGGGCGGUUGGACUAGAAGGUCUGCAAAGUUCCCUUCCAACCUCAACCGUUCUGUGACUCUGUGAAGAUAGUAUUAAUAACUGCCUGGGCUGCUUCAAGCCUGGCUGGAUGGCAAUGCUGGCUCAUGCAAACCCUCUGACCUUGUAACUUGAUGCUUGAAAAUAUCUGCCUUCAGAAAUCUCCUCCUUUAUUUACUAACAGCUGUAACUGUUCCUUCCCAAUGCUGAGUUUUACUCUUGGAAAAGUAGAUAUUUGAAGCUUUGUCAAGACAUAAACCGGGAAACAGCAGGCAAUUCUAAGAGUAAGAUAACCUUGGGGAAAAAAAAAAGUGGUAGUAGCUCUCUUGCAAAUUCCUGACCUUCACACAUGUGUCCUAAAAGCCAUAGUUCUUUAAACGUUUUAAAUUUCAUCCAGGAUGCUUGGCCUCUGAAGAGUAUUAUGGUUUAUAGCUAACAAGGCAAGUAAUACACUUGGUCCAACUGGCAAUAUGUGAGAUUCAUUGGGUGAUUCGUUUUCCUUUCAACUUACUUUGCUGGGUUUUUUUCCCCACCAAAUGAUCUAUCC